RNAcentral lists this long non-coding RNA (2708 nucleotides) under Canis lupus familiaris (dog). RNAcentral describes it as "lncRNA (ENSCAFG00000053705.1)". The record is from RNAcentral. Lineage: Eukaryota; Metazoa; Chordata; Mammalia; Carnivora; Canidae.
UUUUUUUAUGGUUAUUGUUGUUAAUCUCUUACCGUGCCUCAUUUACAAAUUAAGUUUUAUCACAGGUAUGCAUAGGAAAAAACAUAGUGUAUAGUAUAAAGUUUAGUAUUAAUUAUGGUUUCAGAAAUCCACCAGAGGUCUUGGAACAUAUCCUCCAUGAAUAAGGAAAAACUACUGUAAGCAAAGCAAAAACUAGUAUUUUACCCGCAGAAACUUCUAUUUGGGAUAUUAAAUUUCCCAAUAAUACUGGUGAGCUAUUUUGUGCAGUAACAUUUGGAAGUCUUAAUUUUUGUUUCCAAUGGAUGGGUUUACUUUCUCUUUUAUUUUAAUCAUAUAUUGUGAUACGAAUUUCAUCAUUAGAAAUUCUUGGUCUCCGAGCAUGUGGGUGGGGCUCUGUGGUUGAGUGUUUGUCUGCCUUUGCCUCAGGCUAUGAUCCCAAGGUCCAGGAUCUAGUCCCACAUCAGGUUCCCCACAGGGAGCCUGCUUUUCCCUCUGCCUAUGUCUCUGUCUUUCUUUCUGUGUUUCUCAUGAGUAAAUAAAUAAAAUCUUAAAAAGAGAGAAAGAAAGAACCUCUUGGUCUCACUUCUUAUUUAAAAAUUUGUAAAAUGUAGAAAAUUAAUUUUCAACUAAUUUAAUUGCAAUUUAUGCUGAUUUCUUUUUUUUUAAGAUUUUAUUUAUUUAUUCAUGAGAAACAUGAGAGAGAGAGAGAGAGAGAGAGGCAGAGACACAGGCAGAGGGACAAGCAGGCUCCAUGCAGGGAGCCCGACGACAUGGGACUUGAUCCCAGGUCUCCAAGAUCACGCCCUGGGCUGAAGGCGGCACUAAACUGCUGAGCCACCUGGGCUGCCCUAUGUGGAUUUCUUUACCAGGGUAAAUUAACUUCCUUUUCUUCUUAAAUUGCUGUGUAAUGAUGAUCUUUUAGUGUCUAUUCCUUGAUUUGUGUGUCUCCUUACGCUCUUCAAAAAUAAAACUUCCAUACAUCACAGUGCUGCCAAAUCAGGCCCUCACCUAAUUUCAAAAUAGUAAUACAAAAAAAAAACACCAUUGGAAAUAUGAAUAGUCCUUUUCUACUGAGAAAUCUGGUAAGAUACUUUGUGAAACUCUCAUAUUACAUGGCUUUUGUAGUGUAUGAUGUAGGCCUGUUUUUGAAUGUGAUAUAAAAUCAAUCAUGUGGCCUUGAAAAAAAUUAAAAGAAGAAUUACACAUUUCUGCAGCUUAUUACUGUCAGAAAAAAAAGAUAAGAGUUAUCAUAUAGUUUAAAUUGAGUCAACAAACCUAUGGCUCAUGGGUCAAGUUCACCUACUAUCUGUUUUUGUAGGGCUCAUGAGCUAAAAAUGGAUUGUUGAAUAGUUGUGACAGAGACUGCAUAGUCCAUGAAGUCAAAAAUAUUUGCUACCUAGUCCUUACAGAAAUGAUUUUGUUGGGACAACUGGGUGGCUCAGUGGUUUGCCACAUGCCUUUGCCCCAGGUUGUGAUCCUGGGGUCCCGGGAUCGAGCCCCACAUUGGGCUUCCUGCAUGGAGCCUGCUUCUCCCUCCACGUAUGUCUCUACUUCUCUCUGUGUGUGUGUCUCUCAUGAAUAAAUAAAUUAAAAAAGAAAAAAGAUUUUGUUGAUCCCUAAGUUAAAUAAAUACUAUGACAUAUCAGUGGUUUUUUGGUAAAAAUAUAAUUCAGUAACAUAUUUUAGGAUGUGAAGUUUAAUAUACCUAUGUUUAGAAACAUAUUUACUCCUAUAUUUUUAAAAAAUGGUUCUUUCAAUCUGAAAAAAUAACCCUACUUUGCAACAUUUCAUGUGCAUUUUUCUUUUUAAUCUAGUUAACCACGUUUAUUUUCCUAGUUAUCUGUCAAAUUUUCAAUUAACAUUAUUGUCAAAUUAACUAUGACAAAAUAUUUUUAGAAACUUGUGCCAGGGAUGAUGUUAUAGUAUAUUGAGAACAGUAUUCACCAACUCAAAUUGACCAUUUAAGUAACCAGCAAUCAACCAUAACAAAACCAAUGUUUAAGUUACUUAUACAUAAAUUUGUGUCUGAGAAAUGUAAAGUAAAUAUAAUGUUAAAUAUUUAUUGGUAAUUUGUUUUAUUUUUCCAAAGCAUAAAAAUAAACACUAGAAAAUGCUCCCUUGAACCUUUCUUUGAAUCUAGCUUGUUACUUUAUAGUAAAGUAAGAUAUCAGAGCAGUCUAAUUCAUAAUAUUGGCUUGGAAAAUGAGAAGAUUCUAUAUUUAUAAGAAUGGAUUUGGCCUACAAUAAGGGGUUGUUAGGAGUAUUUUUAGACAAGAAACAUAUUUUCAACUAUGUACUACCAUAAAGGUGUAUAAUGAGCUGUGAAAACUAUAGUCAUAUUUGCAAAGAUUCAAACCAAAUGGGGAUGUCACAAUUAACAUGAAAAUGGUGGAGAGAUAGGAAGAAUAAUCUAGGCUGUCUCAACCCACCCUCUUUUUCUCCCCCAAAUUCCUUUAUCUGAAAAAGAAAAGUCAUCUAGGAUAUUUUAUACAAAUGUUUCCUACUUUGCUAACAUAGAAAUAACCACGAAGGGGCUUUGAUGUAAUUAAUUAGAUAGAUUUUUAUAUGGAUUUUUGAUGUGCAUUGAGUCCAGAUCGAACUUCAGUCAUUUGUGUGGUUCAAUAGAAUCAUGCAGUACUUAACACUUGAAAAAUGAAGUGGCUCAUUCACUGGACAUAUAGACAAAAAGGAAAAAAAAAAAAAAAAAA